UGAGAUUCUGCUGCUGGUACUAGCUUACAUGGAUAAAGUCCAACUGAUCUAGCUUUACAUUCAGUUUGACAGAAGGUAGCUAAACCACCUCUCUCGAGAACUCCCUCUAGACUGAAGAAGGUAACAAAAGUAAUAAUAAAGCAAAGCAAAAGUGGGGAGCGGCAAGUUGUCCACAAGCCCACGAGCCCAAUUACAGAGAUGAGAAAGCCCGUGCUGCUGGUACAGCAGCAACAUUCAUU
RNAcentral lists this long non-coding RNA (239 nucleotides) under Setaria italica (foxtail millet). RNAcentral's name for it is "long non-coding RNA (SITA_LNC001757)". Lineage: Eukaryota; Viridiplantae; Streptophyta; Magnoliopsida; Poales; Poaceae. The record is from RNAcentral.